RNAcentral lists this long non-coding RNA (219 nucleotides) under Anas platyrhynchos platyrhynchos (common mallard). RNAcentral's name for it is "lncRNA (ENSAPLG00000027213.1)". The record is from RNAcentral. Lineage: Eukaryota; Metazoa; Chordata; Aves; Anseriformes; Anatidae.
CAAAUAAUAAAAGCAAGGACCUUUGGUAAAUACCUGGACAUAGACAGUGGGCAAAGGAAAAAAAGGAUCUACCCAGAGAGAUCUCCUCCUACAUGGCAGGCGAUGAAGUCUGACAUCUUGGCUACCAAAGUGCUUUAUAAAACAAGAGACUUUGUAUGGCUGGUGGGGCUCCAGAAUAUUUAGAAUAGUAAAUAGAUUUCAAAAAACUGAUGUCCUGCA